This 279-nucleotide ribosomal RNA is filed under the name uncultured bacterium. RNAcentral describes it as "partial 16S ribosomal RNA". It matches the Rfam family "Bacterial small subunit ribosomal RNA", at positions 506 to 784 of the family's 1533-position model. The record is from RNAcentral.
UGCCAGCAGCCGCGGUAAUACGGAGGGUGCAAACGUUGCUCGGAAUCAUUGGGCGUAAAGCGCGUGUAGGCGGUUGAUUAAGUCGAAUGUGAAAGCCCUGGGCUCAACCCGGGAAGUGCAUUCGAUACUGGUCAACUAGAGUACGGGAGAGGGUAGCGGAAUUUCCGGUGUAGAGGUGAAAUUCGUAGAUAUCGGAAGGAACACCAGUGGCGAAGGCGGCUAUCUGGACCGAUACUGACGCUGAGACGCGAAAGCGUGGGGAGCAAACAGGAUUAGAUA